GCGCCAGUAGCUCAAUGGAUAGAGCAUCUGUCUACGGAACAGAAGGUUGCAGGUUCGACUCCUGUCUGGCGCA
This 73-nucleotide transfer RNA is filed under the name Candidatus Margulisiibacteriota bacterium. Its description in RNAcentral is "tRNA-Arg". It matches the Rfam family "tRNA". Rfam says of the family: Transfer RNA (tRNA) molecules are approximately 80 nucleotides in length. Their secondary structure includes four short double-helical elements and three loops (D, anti-codon, and T loops). Lineage: Bacteria; Bacillati; Candidatus Margulisiibacteriota. The record is from RNAcentral.